GAACGUGUCUGCUGCUCUGCAGUGGCGGCGCUGGCCCCGGUCAGCUCCUUUGUUCAUCCAACGGGCCACCCCUUCUCCCAGAGGGGCUCCCCCGCCCUGCCGGCCGGCACCGCGGGAGGGGCGGGCUCGGGAAGCGACGCCGCACCCGGGCUGCGGCGGGGCGCGGGCGGCACCGCGAGACCGCGCGUCUCCCCCCAGCCCCCGCCUUCCGCCCCAACCGCCAUUUCCAACCGUCGCCCGCGCUCGUGCUCCGCGUGCUCGGGCCGGGCGCGCGCCGCGGGGGAUGGGGGGAGCCGCUCGCCGCCGCCGCUUUGUCCCGCGCGCGGCCCCCGCCCGGAAGUGGGCUCGCACCGGCCGUGGCCCGCGGCCCCGCGUGUCCUUUGUCCUUCCGGCCCCGCCGAGCCCCGCGCGCCAGCCGCUCCCCUGGCGGCGGGUGCAGCCCCGUCCCCGCUCCCCUCCCGCCUCGGGGCGUUAAGGCGGCGCCGCCCGGGGCGCUGAGGGAGACGGACGGGGACCACACGGAGGGGCCGGCUCGUUACUGAGCGUGCGCCGGCCGCCCUCCCGGCGCGGAGGUUUAAGAGGAAAAGGCCUGCGACGGGCGCGUGUCGUGUCGGCCGCGGGUUGCCGUGAAGCCCAGGCGCUGCGUGUGGCGGCCCGUGCAGGCCGGGGUCAGGCCGGCCUUUCAGGGUUCCUCUGUCCCCCCACGGCCGCGGGUCCGAGUGCCCGGGAGGCGGGGGAGCCGCGCUGCGCACAGUCACGGUGCCGCCCGGUCACGCGGCGCCGGGCGGGGUCGGCGGGGACGCCUCUCAUUUCCCAGCCUCGGCGCCUUUCCGCAGCCCCCGCGGAAGACGCAGCUUGUGAGCGGCAGAAACAAGAAGGAAUUGCAGCUCCGGCUGCAGUGUGAUGGAGAAGCGCCUGCACAGUAAUCCAGAGAAACAGCGAGAGGAAGGCUCUUCUAUGGACUUGGGAAGGGCUGCUGUAAGCAGAGUCCAUUGGAGGAAACUGAAAGUUCAGAGUACAGCGAGCUUUUCAUUGGCUGAUUUAUGUCAGUCUCUCAUUUGCUCAGCUACUACUAGACAAGGAGGAAUCUUUUGUUUUUUCUUCUGAUGGGCAGAAGGCCUGAACAGACACUUUUUUUAAAGAAGACAAACAAAUGGGCAACAGUUUUAUGAAGAAAUGCUCAACUUUAUUAGCUAUAAGGAACAUAAAAAUCAAAACAUAAAUACCACCUCAUACUUGUUAGAAUGACUGUCAACAAGACAAUACAUAACAGGUGUUGGAGAGGUUGUGGAGAAAAAGGAACCCCCAUACACUGCUGGUGGGAAUGUAAAUCAGUACAGCCAAUUUGUAGUAGUAUCCUAUCUAAUAAAAGUGUAAUAUGCAAAUC
Myotis myotis is the source of this 1387-nucleotide long non-coding RNA. RefSeq lists it as uncharacterized. The transcript is spliced from 2 exons. Lineage: Eukaryota; Metazoa; Chordata; Mammalia; Chiroptera; Vespertilionidae. The record is from RefSeq and is a predicted model, not a curated record.